CUCGUUUCUAUUGACAUGACCGUCAACAUUCAUCGUACAUAAGGAGGCAAGGGGGAGUAACAGAAAGGUAUUUCUUGGGAAGAUUCCUUCGGUAUCAAUGGGCAUUGGUCCACUUCUAGAACGCUUCCUUAUUGGUUGUAAAUCUCUCCUGGAGUUCUUUAUUGGAAUCUACUGAGUCAGCUGGAAGACCAGUCCCCAUAGAGAAUGCUCGUCCU
This is a non-coding RNA of Pelobates cultripes (western spadefoot toad), 215 nucleotides long. Lineage: Eukaryota; Metazoa; Chordata; Amphibia; Anura; Pelobatidae. The record is from the annotation of a GenBank genome assembly.